AUACGUAGGGGGCAAGCGUUGUCCGGAAUCAUUGGGCGUAAAGCGCGUGUAGGCGGCUUGGUAAGUCCGCUCUGAAAGCCCGGGGCUCAACCCCGGGAGGCGGGUGGAUACUGCCAGGCUAGAGUCCGGAAGAGGCGAGUGGAAUUCCCGGUGUAGCGGUGAAAUGCGCAGAUAUCGGGAGAAACACCAAUGGCGAACGCAGCUCGCUGGGACGUGACUGACGCUGAGACGCGAAAGCGUGGGGAGCAAACAGGAUUAGAUACCCUGGUAGUCCACGCCGUAAACGAUGGGCACUAGGUGUGGGAGGUGUCGACUCCUCCCGUGCCGAAGCUAACGCAUUAAGUGCCCCGCCUGGGGAGUACGGCCGCAAGGCUGAA
Molecule: ribosomal RNA, 377 nt
Filed under: uncultured bacterium
Lineage: Bacteria
Description: bacterial SSU rRNA
Rfam family: Bacterial small subunit ribosomal RNA
Source: RNAcentral